GACGAACGCUGGCGGCGUGCUUAACGCAUGCAAGUCGAACGGAAAGGCCCUGCUUUUGUGGGGUGCUCGAGUGGCGAACGGGUGAGUAAAACGCGAGUAACAUGCCCUUGACUUUGGGAUAACUUCAGGAAACUGGGGCUAAUACCGGAUAGGAGCUACUGCUGCACGGUGGGGGUUGGAAAGUUUCGGCUGUUGGGGAUGGUCUAGAGGCUUAUCAGCUGGCUGGGGGGGUAGUGGCUUACCAAGGCUUUGACGGGUAGGCGGCCUGGGAGGUUGACCGGGCUCAUUGGGACUGAGAGACGGCCCAGACGCCUACGGGAGGCAGCAGGGGGGAAUAUUGCACAAUGGGCGGAAGCCUGAUGCAGCAGCGCCGCGUGCGUGAUGACGGCCUUCGGGUUGUGAACCGCUUUCGCCUGAGACGAAGCGUGAGUGACGGUAAUGGGUAAAGAAGCACCGGCUAACUACGUG
RNAcentral lists this ribosomal RNA (468 nucleotides) under uncultured bacterium. Its description in RNAcentral is "partial 16S ribosomal RNA". It matches the Rfam family "Bacterial small subunit ribosomal RNA", at positions 28 to 507 of the family's 1533-position model. The record is from RNAcentral.